Molecule: ribosomal RNA, 494 nt
Filed under: uncultured bacterium
Lineage: Bacteria
Description: partial 16S ribosomal RNA
Rfam family: Bacterial small subunit ribosomal RNA
Source: RNAcentral
GACGAACGCUGGCGGCGUGCUUAACACAUGCAAGUCGAACGGUGAAGCGCCUUCCUUUUUGGUGGGUGUGGAUGAGUGGCGAACGGGGGAGUAACACGUGAGUAACCUGCCCCCUUCUUCUGGAUAACCGCAUGAAAGUGUGGCUAAUACGGGAUAUUCUGGGUCUGUCGCAUGAUGGGUCUGGGAAAGAUAUUGUUUCGGUGGGGGAUGGGCUCGCGGCCUAUCAGCUUGUUGGUGGGGUGAUGGCCUACCAAGGCGGUGACGGGUAGCCGGCCUGAGAGGGUGGACGGUCACACUGGGACUGAGACACGGCCCAGACUCCUACGGGAGGCAGCAGUGGGGAAUAUUGCACAAUGGGCGCAAGCCUGAUGCAGCGACGCCGCGUGAGGGAUGGAGGCCUUCGGGUUGUGAACCUCUUUCGCCAGUGAAGCAGGCCUGCCUCGUUUGUGGGUGGGUUGACGGUAGCUGGAUAAGAAGCGCCGGCUAACUACGUG